RNAcentral lists this ribosomal RNA (497 nucleotides) under uncultured bacterium. RNAcentral describes it as "partial 16S ribosomal RNA". It matches the Rfam family "Bacterial small subunit ribosomal RNA", at positions 28 to 507 of the family's 1533-position model. The record is from RNAcentral.
GAUGAACGCUGGCGGCGUGCCUAAUACAUGCAAGUCGAGCGGACAGACGAUGAGUUUGCUCCUCUCACGUUAGCGGCGGGCGGGUGAGUAGCACGUGGAUAACCUACUUAUAAGACUUGGAUAAGUUCGGGAAACCGGAACUAAUACCGGGUACAUGAUUGAACCGGAUGGUUCAAUAGUUUAGUACGGGUUAGCGGUCACUUCGAGAUGUAUCCGCGUGUGAUUAGCUAGUUGGUACGGUAAGGGCUUACCAGGGCAACGGUGCGUAGCCGACCUGAGAGGGUAGUCGGCCAGACUGGAACGGAGACCCGGUCCAGACUCCGACGGGAGGCAGACGCAGGGAAUAUGCCGCAAAGGGCGAAAGCCUGACGGAGCAACGCCGCGUGAGCGAUGAAGGUCUUCGGAUGGUAAAACUCUGUUAUUAGGGAAGAACAAAUGUGUAAGACAAAAUGCACGUCUUGACGGUACCUAAUCAGAAAGCCACGGCUAACUACGUG